Molecule: long non-coding RNA, 226 nt
Organism: Solanum dulcamara
Lineage: Eukaryota; Viridiplantae; Streptophyta; Magnoliopsida; Solanales; Solanaceae
Exons: 3
Source: RefSeq, a predicted model, not a curated record
AGGAUUGGUUCUUUGAAAGUGAACUCCACAUGUAUGCUUCUCAUUCGUGCUUGUGAUCAAAGAAACAAAAAGAAGUUUUCCCAAACCUUGGAGCUAUUAAAGAAUGAUUUCUCAACUACACGAAACAAAUUGGAAGCUUAUGCUAGGAUAGAGAAAAGGAUUAUCAUGGUGAUAAUCGAUCAAGCUGGAAGCUCAAGUUUCUAAAAGGAAAAUAUUUUUUAAUAAA